RNAcentral lists this ribosomal RNA (252 nucleotides) under uncultured bacterium. RNAcentral's name for it is "partial 16S ribosomal RNA". It matches the Rfam family "Bacterial small subunit ribosomal RNA", at positions 524 to 775 of the family's 1533-position model. The record is from RNAcentral.
GACGGGGGGUCCUAGCGUUGUUCGGAAUCAUUGGGCGUAAAGCGUGCGCAGGCGGUUUUGUAAGUCUGUCGUGAAAGCCCCGGGCUCAACCUGGGAAUUGCGAUGGAGACUGCAAGGCUUGAAUCUGGCAGAGGGGGGUAGAAUUCCACGUGUAGCAGUGAAAUGCGUAGAGAUGUGGAGGAACACCGAUGGCGAAGGCAGCCCCCUGGGUCAAGAUUGACGCUCAUGCACGAAAGCGUGGGGAGCAAACAG